AUGUUAAUCCCAUCAAGCAGUUGCCAACAAAUUUUUCUCUUUGGGCCAAGAUAUAUAGUGAUCAGAUCCACAUCUUUGUCCACCAAGAAGUCCAAUCUCACACCAUUGUUUUGUUAUCAUUUACUUUAUAAAAAUAAAGAAAAAAAUACAAAUAAUCAUAAAAUAUAUCAUAAAGCAAAGUUUGAAGAGGAGAUAUGGUUCGAAGGUUAUGUGACGUUCCUAAUUCCUCGUGAAGUUGUAUUCUUCUUCUCAGAAGCUUCACCGGAGGCGCGAUACCGAUUCCGCCUAUCUUUUCUCAAUCGACAUUUCAAACACCGUCGUGGAUGUAAAAUGUCAAGCCGUUAA
Vicia faba (fava bean) is the source of this 345-nucleotide non-coding RNA. The record is from the annotation of a GenBank genome assembly. NCBI's taxonomy places the organism in Eukaryota, Viridiplantae, Streptophyta, Magnoliopsida, Fabales, Fabaceae.